RNAcentral lists this long non-coding RNA (1903 nucleotides) under Triticum aestivum (bread wheat). RNAcentral's name for it is "long non-coding RNA (TAES_LNC007637)". Lineage: Eukaryota; Viridiplantae; Streptophyta; Magnoliopsida; Poales; Poaceae. The record is from RNAcentral.
CAGGCGGCAAUCGUCCACAAGAAGAGGGGAAGUCAUGGCAGCCGGGUCCUCAUCUGUGACCGCUCCCUGACCACCAUAUUCUGCUGGUAAGGGUGCGGAGCAGCAGCUGAACCUGCAAGCGUAAUUGUUCUUGAUUUCAUAGCUGAAAGAUGGACUGAUGAAACUGUUUGGAUUGGCUUUCGUUUUUGUAGCAUUUGUUCCUUGUGAGGGGGAUAGUAUAUUAUCCUCAAAUAAUAGUGGAGUGUUCUAAAGAAAGGGCUAGCAUAGGAGAUGCAACGGGGUAGCAUAUUAUCCGAGGAGUGUUCUAAAGUUGCCAAACAUAUCUCCCCCGAAUCUUUUUGCGUUUGGAUCCUUUUGCAUCUCCUAUUCCUCUUUUGGUUUCUUCUUCUUGCCUCUAUCAUUCCUUUGGAUGUUUCUUGGGCUAUUUGGAUGUUUCUUGGGCUAUUUGGAUGUUUCUUGGGCUAUUUUUGCUGCUUGCUAGGCGUUUAUUUCUUGGGUUUUUGCCUUUCACUUUCAUUUUCUUCUCUUUCUUCUUUGACUUUUAUGUGCUUCCUCUUCACCUGAUUGACACUGUGUUGUUUAUGUGCUGCCUACUUUGUUUUGCGGGUACUAUGCUUGUCGUGGAUUGCUACCUCACGUGUACGCAGAGGACAUCUUGGGUGUUCAGGUAGCUGGUUUACCCACUAAUUUAUUUUACUUACCCUAAAAAGCAUUUCUGUUUGGUGCAUCAUGUUCUUCCAAUUGCUUGAUUGAUUAGAGAGCCCUGCCACAUUUAUUUACGAGAGGAGGCGCUUGAUAGAUAGGGAUUCAGUAGAAGCAACUACUAUAUAAGGAUGACCCUUGUAUGUUUAUGAAAUAAAAUUAUGAUGUAGGCCUCAGACUUUCUUGGGUUUAUUAAGUGGAAGAGCUAGAUUAGCCAGCCAGUUCCUUUUGGGGUUUACACAUGAAUCCUACAUGUUCCAUAUGAUUUUGAGGCCUCGUGUUAUGCCAGCGGUUUGAUUAUUGUAUCAGCUAGCUGAUUUACCCCCUAAUUUUCUUUAAUUUGGUUCGAUACUGUGCAUGUAUUAAUGUUUAGUGUCACUUGGAUUAAGAAGAAAGAGCUGGUACACCGUACAAAAGAAAGAAGUAUACAGAUAUGCAGAUGCCAGUAGCUAUAAUUUUAUAUAUGCAAAGCACAGAGACAAUUCUAGAUAGAAGUGUAUUGAACUACUGAUGGUUUGGAAUUGGUGGUGCAUUAUCACCGGUCUACUGUAUCGGUAAUCACACAUUCAACAUGUGAUUCAGUACAAUAUUUAGCAAGUCUGCAUGUUGUUUUAUACGGGGUCUUGAAUAUUUGGUUUUUCUUCUGUUUUGGAUGAAAUUAUGAUUCUAUAUGCCAAUGAUUUUUUCUUCUCUCAGCUUGAAUUCCGAGAGUAAUAGAACUUGCAUGACUUGAUCAAAUUUCUUUACUUACAGUAUAUGUAAUGCUUGGUUGGUCUAUUCACUGUUAUCCUUUGUUUGCAGCUUUGGAAUAUACAAUAAGUUCGAUGGCUAGCAAUUCAGGAUUCUCGGUUGUCCAAUCACCCAGUAACUUUGAGGUGGGAUUUCUCUUAAUUUGCUUUUAGAGGUAUAAGUUCAGUGGAACACAGAUGUAUGUAUCUUACAUGUAUACCUAUAAGCAGUGAGCAUUCUCUUAAUUGUAUGAGAGCAAACAACAAAUUACUGGAUACAUGGCUGAAGUAUGGUUGUAAUCCAUAUCCAUGUUUGCGCGAGCUUUUAAAACUGACGAAAAUGUUAAUUAUUUUCUUUAGUUACUCUAGCAAACACUGACCUUGAUUUGGUAUCAACAUUUCCAGUUCUACAUUGGAAUUUUAAAUGUAGGCAAUGUACUUUUUGUUACACAACAACUAUUGCUUCUGAAACC